UCCAGACUCCUACGGGAGGCAGCGGUGGGGAAUAUUGCACAAUGGGGGAAACCCUGAUGCAGCGACGCCGCGUGAGUGAAGAAGUAUUUCGGUAUGUAAAGCUCUAUCAGCAGGGAAGAUAAUGACGGUACCUGACUAAGAAGCCCCGGCUAACUACGUGCCAGCAGCCGCGGUAAUACGUAGGGGGCAAGCGUUAUCCGGAUUUACUGGGUGUAAAGGGUACGUAGGUGGCAGGGCAAGUCAGAUGUGAAAGCCCGGGGCUCAACCCCGGUACUGCAUUUGAAACUGUCCAGCUGGAGUGCAGGAGAGGUAAGCGGAAUUCCUAGUGUAGCGGUGAAAUGCGUAGAUAUUAGGAGGAACACCAGUGGCGAAGGCGGCUUACUGGACUGUAACUGACACUGAGGCACGAAAGCGUGGGGAGCAAACAGGAUUAGAUACCCCCGUA
RNAcentral lists this ribosomal RNA (445 nucleotides) under uncultured bacterium. Its description in RNAcentral is "bacterial SSU rRNA". It matches the Rfam family "Bacterial small subunit ribosomal RNA", at positions 330 to 792 of the family's 1533-position model. The record is from RNAcentral.